GAUGAACGCUGGCGGUGUGCCUAAUACAUGCCAGUCGAGCGAACGGACGAGAAGCUUGCUUCUCUGAUGUUAGCGGCGGACGGGUGAGUAACACGUGGAUAACCUACCUAUAAGACUGGGAUAACUUCGGGAAACCGGAGCUAAUACCGGAUAAUAUUUUGAACCGCAUGGUUCAAAAGUGAAAGACGGUCUUGCUGUCACUUAUAGAUGGAUCCGCGCUGCAUUAGCUAGUUGGUAAGGUAACGGCUUACCAAGGCAACGAUGGAUAGCCGACCUGAAGGGGACGAUGGACAGACGGGCAGUGAGGAACAUCCGAGACACUGACGGGGAGAAGCGGUCGGGAAUCUUACGGGAGGCGGGAAAGCCGAAUGUAGGAACGCCGCGGGAAUGAUGAAGGACUACGGAUGCGAGAACUCUGUAGUUAGGAGGGAUGAUAAGCGUAUGUAACUGUGAUGAUAAUGACGGUACCUGAACAAAAAGCCACGGCUAACUCCGUG
Molecule: ribosomal RNA, 497 nt
Filed under: uncultured bacterium
Lineage: Bacteria
Description: partial 16S ribosomal RNA
Rfam family: Bacterial small subunit ribosomal RNA
Source: RNAcentral